AAGCUGGCCUCUGUAAACAAGCUAGUGCCUGAAGAUGAGUCCGCGGCCCAUCAGCUAGUUGGCGGGGUAAUGGCCCACCAAGGCAACGACGGGUAGCUGGUCUGAGAGGACGAUCAGCCACACUGGAACUGAGACACGGUCCAGACUCCUACGGGAGGCAGCAGUGGGGAAUCUUGCGCAAUGGGCGAAAGCCUGACGCAGCAACGCCGCGUGAGUGAUGAAGGUCUUCGGAUCGUAAAGCUCUUUCGGCAGGGAAGAAUGGCCCCUGGGUGAACAAUCCAGGGGCGUGACGGUACCUGCAGAAGAAGCACCGGCUAACUCUGUGCCAGCAGCCGCGGUAA
Molecule: ribosomal RNA, 341 nt
Filed under: uncultured delta proteobacterium
Lineage: Bacteria; Deltaproteobacteria
Description: bacterial SSU rRNA
Rfam family: Bacterial small subunit ribosomal RNA
Source: RNAcentral